Molecule: ribosomal RNA, 230 nt
Filed under: uncultured bacterium
Lineage: Bacteria
Description: partial 16S ribosomal RNA
Rfam family: Bacterial small subunit ribosomal RNA
Source: RNAcentral
CGGGUGAGUAAUACAUCGGAACGUGUCUUCUAGUGGGGGAUAACUGCCCGAAAGGGCAGCUAAUACCGCAUGAGACCUGAGGGUGAAAGCGGGGGGAGUCGCAAGACCUCGCGCUGGAAGAGCGGCCGAUGUCCGAUUAGCUAGUUGGUGAGGUAAAGGCUCACCAAGGCGACGAUCGGUAGCUGGUCUGAGAGGACGACCAGCCACACUGGGACUGAGACACGGCCCAG